RNAcentral lists this long non-coding RNA (272 nucleotides) under Gossypium raimondii (Peruvian cotton). RNAcentral describes it as "long non-coding RNA (GRAI_LNC007641)". Lineage: Eukaryota; Viridiplantae; Streptophyta; Magnoliopsida; Malvales; Malvaceae. The record is from RNAcentral.
AAGAUUCGGUGAGACUGGGCAAAAUUGGUCCUUUUUAAAGUCUUUGCUCUAUUCCCGUUACACGACAAUGAGUAAAGAGGGGCAGCUAUACAAGCCCUAUUUUGCCCGGGCCUAUAUAAUAAUAAAGCACCGUUUUACAGUAGGCCCAUGUGGCUCAAACCCAAAAAACAAAAAAAAAACCCAACUAAACUAAACCCUAAAGCAGCCCAAUACCCAAAAACAAAAAAAAGAAACACAAAAACCCUAGCCCCUAACCCUAGCCUGCCGCCGCC